AGGGCACCACCAGGAGUGGAGCCUGCGGCUUAAUUUGACUCAACACGGGAAAACUCACCCGGCCCGGACACUGUAAGGAUUGACAGACUGAGAGCUCUUUCUUAAUUCAGUGGGUGGUGGUGCAUGGCCGUUCUUAGUUGGUGGAGCGAUUUGUCUGGUUAAUUCCGAUAACGAACGAGACUCUGGCCUAUUAAAUAGACGAGGUAUUUACAUGUAUCUCGCGCUUCUUAGAGGGACAAGCGGCGUCUAGUCGCAUGAAAAAGAGCAAUAACAGGUCUGUGAUGCCCUUAGAUGUCCGGGGCUGCACGCGCGCUACACUGAAAGAAUCAGCGUGCUUGUCCGAGUCCGAAAGGACCCGGUAAACCCUUGAAAAUUUGCCGUGAUUGGGAUCGGAAAUUGCAAUUAUUUUCCGUGAACGAGGAAUUCCAAGUAAGUGCGAGUCAUCAGCUUGCGUUGAUUACGUCCCUGCCCUUUGUACACACCGCCCGUCGCUGCCUAGAACUGAGCCAUUUCGAGAAU
RNAcentral lists this ribosomal RNA (519 nucleotides) under uncultured eukaryote. RNAcentral's name for it is "bacterial SSU rRNA". It matches the Rfam family "Eukaryotic small subunit ribosomal RNA", at positions 1161 to 1706 of the family's 1831-position model. The record is from RNAcentral.